RNAcentral lists this ribosomal RNA (253 nucleotides) under uncultured bacterium. RNAcentral's name for it is "partial 16S ribosomal RNA". It matches the Rfam family "Bacterial small subunit ribosomal RNA", at positions 524 to 776 of the family's 1533-position model. The record is from RNAcentral.
UACGUAGGGUGCAAGCGUUGUCCGGAAUUAUUGGGCGUAAAGAGCUCGUAGGCGGUCUGUCGCGUCUGCUGUGAAAACUCGGGGCUUAACCCCGGGCCUGCAGUGGGUACGGGCAGACUAGAGUGCGGUAGGGGAGACUGGAAUUCCUGGUGUAGCGGUGAAAUGCGCAGAUAUCAGGAGGAACACCAGUGGCGAAGGCGGUGCUCUGGGCCGGAACUGACGCUGAGGCGCGAAAGCUAGGGGAGCAAACGGG